This is a long non-coding RNA of Zingiber officinale, 102 nucleotides long. RefSeq lists it as uncharacterized. Lineage: Eukaryota; Viridiplantae; Streptophyta; Magnoliopsida; Zingiberales; Zingiberaceae. The record is from RefSeq and is a predicted model, not a curated record. The transcript is spliced from 2 exons.
GCACAUUGUCCAAGUGGGGUUGGGAGAUGAUGAUCAGGGUAUUGAGGAUGACUUCUCUGCAUGGAGGGAGCUUCUUUGGCCGGAGUUGGAUAAGUUACUUUA